This 422-nucleotide ribosomal RNA is filed under the name uncultured archaeon. RNAcentral describes it as "partial 16S ribosomal RNA". It matches the Rfam family "Archaeal small subunit ribosomal RNA", at positions 323 to 746 of the family's 1478-position model. The record is from RNAcentral.
CUACGGGGGGCAGCAGUUAGGAAUAUUUUGCAAUGCGCGCAAGCGUGACAAAUUGAGCCAGAGUGUCCUCCACAUAGGCGGACUUUUUUAGAAUCUAAAAACUUCUAAGAAUAAGGACUGGGUAAGACGAGUGCCAGCCGCCGCGGUAAUACUCGCGGUCCAAGUCGCAGCCAUAUUUAUUGGGUCUAAAACAUCCGUAGCUUGCUUUGUAAGUUCUCUGUGAAAUUCUAUCUCUUAAAGGUGGAGCGCGCAAGGAAUACUGCUAAGCUAGAGACUGGAAGACGUAAGAAGUAUGUUCAAAGUAGCGGUAAAAUGUUUUAAUCUUGAACAGACUCACAAUAGCGAAGGCAUCUUACGAGGACAGUUCUGACAGUAAGGGAUGAAGGCUAGGGUCGCGAAAGGGAUUAGAUACCCUUGUAGUC